This 1200-nucleotide ribosomal RNA is filed under the name Triticum aestivum (bread wheat). RNAcentral's name for it is "partial small subunit ribosomal RNA". Lineage: Eukaryota; Viridiplantae; Streptophyta; Magnoliopsida; Poales; Poaceae. The record is from RNAcentral.
AUGAAACAUAUGCAUUAUGAAGAUGAAAGCACUAAAUAUAUCGGUAUGUCUCCAAUUAACAAGGCACUAGAUAUGAUCUGUUGUUGGAUUGACGAUCCAAAUCCAGAUGCAUUGAGGUUACAUAUUCCAAGGAUCUAUGACUAUUUAUGGCUUGCAGAAGAUGGCAUGAAAGCUGUUGUGUACGAUGGUUGUCAAAGUUGGGAGAUAGCUUUUAUUAUCCAAGCCUAUUGCUCCACAGACCUUGUUAAUGAGUUUGGUCCAACACUUAAAAAAGCCAAUGGGUUCUUGAAAAGUUCACAGGUUCUUGAGAACCACCCCGACAGUGAAGCUUAUUACCGCCAUAGGUCGAAAGGUUCAUGGACACUUUCAACAGCAGAUAAUGGUUGGAAUGUAUCAGAUUGCACUACAGAAGCACUUAAGGCAUUAUUGCUAUUGUCAAAUAUCUCUCCUAAUCUUGUGGGGGAUCCCAUAACAGAAGAAAGGUUGUAUGAUGCAGUGGAUUGCUUACUUUCUUUCAAGAACAAUGAUGGUACCUUUUCUACAUACGAGUGUAAGAGAACUACAUCAUUGAUAGAGGUUCUUAACCCUUCUGAGUCAUUUCUGAAUAUUAUGGUCAACUAUCCAUCGGUCGAAUGCACAUCAUCAGUUCUUGAAGCCUUGAUUAUGUUUAGUGAAAAUUACCCAGGGUACCGCAAAGAUGAGAUAGGAAAAUGCAUAAAAAAUUGUGCCAUGUUUAUUGAGAAUAGUCAACGGAAGGAUGGAUCAUGGUUUGGCAUUUGGGGUAUAUGUUUCACUUAUGGAACAUUAUUUGCUGUAAAAGGGUUAAUUGCUGCUGGAAGUACUUACGACAAUAGUUCCUUCAUAAGAAAAGCAUGCAACUUUCUAUUGUCAAAGCAGCUAAGUACAGGUGGAUGGGGUGAGACUUAUCUUUCAAGUGAAACUAAGUCUUAUGUGGAUGCUACUAGUCCUCACGCGGUGAACACUGCUUGGGCAAUGUUGGCUUUAGUUUAUGCUGGGCAGGUUGAACGAGAUCCCGCACCAUUGUAUCAUGCCGCAAAAGAAUUGAUGAAUAUGCAACUAGACACAGGGGAGUUUCCCCAGCAAGAACACGUUGGAUGCUUCAAUUGCUCCGUGUACUUCAAUUAUGGCAACUACUGCAACUUAUAUCCCAUCUGGGCUAUUGGAGAGUUUCGUCGUUGA